Molecule: long non-coding RNA, 1694 nt
Filed under: Felis catus (domestic cat)
Lineage: Eukaryota; Metazoa; Chordata; Mammalia; Carnivora; Felidae
Description: lncRNA (ENSFCAG00000048051.1)
Source: RNAcentral
UUUGGACUUCUGACCUCCAGAACUGUUUUCCUAUAAGAAAUUCUACUUUAUGGUUCCUGUUUCUCAGAUCUACUUAAAAAAUAGACGGUUAAUUCAUCUCCCUGUGUUUGGACAAUGACAAUGGCACCUUUAUGGAGCACGUGGGUGAAUAUUACAAUUAAGAGAUUCGAUUUAGUUACCUCUUUAAACAAAAGGUACUCUCCUAUAUAUGUUCUGCUUGAUUUGUUAUUUUGGUUCCUGGCCGUAAUUCCUGAGAUUUCAAAUUGAAUGAUUGUUAUUUUGUUCUUUAAUUACUGUUCUUAAUAUAGGCAGGUAUCUGCCUGAUAUGUUAAUAUUCACUUAUUAAUCCAAAAAAAUGUGAUUAGUCACUUACUCUGUGUUGGGUGAAUUCAAGGCAUUCUCUUAACUUUGUAACAGGUAGCAGAGCCCAAUGUGGAGAAGUGGGGUAGAAGAGACCUUCAGGCUAGUACAUCCUUCAAGUUUCUGAGGUUCUCAUUCAAGUAAUGCAGUCAGAAGUACUCAGAGGAAGAAAGAACUGACACAGAAUAUGGAUGUCCCGUGCUUUACUACCUGUCUCAUCCACACUUGAAACUGAGGUAGAGUGAAAGCCAUCCUCUAUGUUUUUCAGCUCCAAGAGGUAAGAAGGCAUCUCAGCAUGAAUAACUCUGAUGAACAAAUGGCAUUUCUGGGCUGAUCACUUAACAAAAAUGUGUGCUGGGCAAGGAAAAAGCCAUGCUGAUUCCUUUCGUUCUGUGCCCAGUGGCCCUACCACUGGUGAGUGUAGGACGGCUGAUUAUUGAAGACUAGAAAACUUUUCCACUUUUCCUUAUGAGACUGGCAACAAUUUCUGAGACAAAGAACACUCUUGGCCCUGCAGGCAACCAUGCAGCACCAAUGUAUAAUCGGAAAACAUGCUCUAAAUGGUUGGCCUGGACUCUCAGGAGACCUUGUUCUUGGUGUGCCGGUGUGUGACAUGGUGGGGCACCAACUUCACUUCUGGGAGCACAACUCCCCUGCUGGGACCAGAGGGAAAGGCUUCCAUCCCCCUCAGAAACAUCUGUAUUAAGGGCAGAGAAAGCUCUGGUUUUCAUUGGCUCCAUUACAAUAUUAUAGUGCCAAAUAUCUCCUAAACUAUAACCAAUGUGAGGAAUGGACUAUUUCAUUUGCAAGCUGAAAAAUCAGGUAAAUAUGAGCAUUUCUUUAUUUAGUUAGUAGGAAAAAAUCAUUCUAGAUUGUCCAUGUGGGACCAUUCCUAGCCACGGGUGGGCUAUUGCUUUACACUCGGCUGAAGUUACAGCACCGGGUGGGGAGGCAUGAUUAUAGAAACAGAGUUAGGGACAAAUGCCAACAUGAACAUGUAUUAUAUAAACAGAGCUCAAACUACCUCCAUACACUCUGAAUUUAGAAAUGUUACCAAUCCACAGAUGAAAAACAUUCUCACAAGUAUCUAAGUCUGGGAUAACAUAAAGUGAAUGGACAGUGCAUUGAGCGCUAGAAGCACUGUUAGGAAUUUCUCAUGCCUUGUGCUACUUGGCGGCUUCACAAGCAACCGAAGGAAUGGGACAGCCAAUCAAAGUAGUUCAUUUAACCUUUCAAAUUUCCAGAUGCUGGUCUUGUCUCUGCUCCUGUUUGGGUAACUGCCAUGAUGUUCCCUUUCCAAUAAAACCUGGUGUGCAACACUCCCCCUGGGUGCU